CCUUACCAGGUCUUGACAUCCGAUGCUAUUUACUAGAGAUGAAAGUUACUUCGGUACAUCGGUGACAGGUGGUGCAUGGUUGUCGUCAGCUCGUGUCGUGAGAUGUUGGGUUAAGUCCCGCAACGAGCGCAACCCCUAUUGUUAGUUGCCAUCAUUCAGUUGGGCACUCUAGCGAGACUGCCGGUAAUAAACCGGAGGAAGGUGGGGAUGACGUCAAAUCAUCAUGCCCUUAUGACCUGGGCUACACACGUGCUACAAUGGUUGGUACAACGAGUUGCGAGUCGGUGACGGCGAGCUAAUACUCUUAAAGCCAAUCUCAGUUCGGAUUGUAGGCUGCAACUCGCCUACAUGAAGUCGGAACCGCUAGUAAUCGCGGAUCAGCACGCCCGCGGUCGAAUACGUUCCCGGGCCUU
Molecule: ribosomal RNA, 413 nt
Filed under: uncultured Streptococcus sp.
Lineage: Bacteria; Bacillati; Bacillota; Bacilli; Lactobacillales; Streptococcaceae
Description: bacterial SSU rRNA
Rfam family: Bacterial small subunit ribosomal RNA
Source: RNAcentral